This 278-nucleotide unclassified non-coding RNA is filed under the name uncultured Anabaena sp. RNAcentral describes it as "partial 16S-23S ribosomal RNA intergenic spacer". Lineage: Bacteria; Bacillati; Cyanobacteriota; Cyanophyceae; Nostocales; Nostocaceae. The record is from RNAcentral.
UAGGGAGACCUAAUCCAUUUAGAAAUCGAAAACAAUGAAAAUUGUCAAUAGAAACUAAAUUGGUCUAACCUAGGUCGUUCGAGAUUGGUAGACAUCUUUCAAAGUAUUAUUCGGCUUCGUUCAAAACCAUAUAUAAUAAAUGGAAAAAGACAGCACCUAAUUGUCAAAGUUAGACUGCUGGAUGAAGUUCCAGCCAGAACCUUGAAAACUGCAUAAGAGAACAAGAAAAGGCAGGCAGACACAGACAUUUAGAUGGAUGUGGAAGCAAAAGAAAUUGU